RNAcentral lists this ribosomal RNA (1236 nucleotides) under Triticum aestivum (bread wheat). RNAcentral describes it as "partial small subunit ribosomal RNA". Lineage: Eukaryota; Viridiplantae; Streptophyta; Magnoliopsida; Poales; Poaceae. The record is from RNAcentral.
AUGCCAAAAGCACCACUUGGAAGCUGGAGCCUAUCAAAAAACUAUCCUUCCCACCAUAUAAAGAUCGAUCGAUCGAUAAGAUAUCAGCUCAAAGCCAAAGCAUGCACUUGCAUCUCUGCCCCAUACAUGGCCUCACUUGGAUUUCCAUCCAUAUCCAUACCCAUUCUCUUCUUGAUCACUCUGCUGUCCACUGUACCCACAUCUUCUUCUCCUGGUCCAAGCAAGAGCAAUGGCAGCGAUACUGAUCUUGCCGCCCUGCUGGCUUUCAAAGGACAGCUCUCAGACCCUCUCGGCAUCCUUGCCAGCAACUGGACCACCGGCACGAAUUUCUGCCACUGGUUUGGUGUUGCAUGCAGUCGGCGCCGGCAGCGCGUCACUGCUUUGGAACUGCCGGGCACUCCCCUCUAUGGAUCAAUCACUCCACACCUUGGUAAUCUCUCUUUCCUCUCUAUUCUCAAUCUCAAUAAUACAAAUCUCACGGGCUCCAUCCCCGAUGAUUUAGGACGGCUUCGUCGUCUUAAAUACAUAUAUCUCGGAUUCAAUGACCUAUCAGGUAGCAUCCCAACCACCAUAGGAAACCUCACAAGGCUUCGUGUUCUUGCCUUGUAUUAUAGCCAUGUAUCUGGUUCAAUCCCGGCAGAACUACAGAACCUGCAGAGUCUUGUCUACUUCAAUAUCUUCGGGAAUUACCUGAGCGGCUCAAUACCAACCUAUCUAUUUAAUAAUACCCCUCUGAUAACUCGCCUGAGCUUCGGCAACAACAGCCUAUCGGGACAUAUACCAUCUUGUAUUGGCUCCUUACCAAUGCUUGAGUACCUUGACCUUCAAGUGAAUCAUUUCAGCGGCCCAGUACCUCCAUCCAUAUUCAAUAAUUCUAGAUUAACUGAAAUCUGGCUUGGAUUCAACUACAACUUAACUGGCCCGAUCCCAAACAAUAAAAGUUUUAGUCUACCGGCAUUGCAAAAGAUUAGCCUGAACAACAAUAGAUUCACCGGUGAGAUUCCGUUGGGGCUAUCCUCUUGUCGGUACCUCCAAACUAUCUCCUUCAACCUGAAUUCCUUCGAGGGUGUUGUGCCGACGUGGCCGGGCAAGCUUUCUCAUCUCAGUUUCCUUUCAUUGGGUAGGAAUCACCUUGUUGGUGCAAUUCCUGUUGCACUUAGCAACCUCACUCAGCUAGGUUUACUAGCCCUGCCAGGCUGUGAACUGUCAGGAGCCAUUCCGGAAGAAUUUGGAUAG